This 524-nucleotide long non-coding RNA is filed under the name Phoenix dactylifera (date palm). Its description in RNAcentral is "long non-coding RNA (PDAC_LNC000542)". The record is from RNAcentral. Lineage: Eukaryota; Viridiplantae; Streptophyta; Magnoliopsida; Arecales; Arecaceae.
GAAUACUCGGCUAAAUCAAAUGCAACCGCUUGUGUUUGUGUUGUUUAGUUUCAUCGAUCUCUCUAAUUCUUAAGGCUGCUACUAGAUUAAACCUUAGUGCUUGUCUUGGGUUGUUUAGUAGUUAGGGUUAAUUAGAUCGCUUGUUUUUAAUUAACUACAACUAAGAAGAGAUAGAAAAAUAUUUCUAUCGGUGGACAUUCAAAGUGCAAAUUGAUAUCUUUGCAUCAAUAAUCAGUUGUAAAAUUCCGAUGGUGGAUGUUGACUUAGACCAAGAUUUGUUCUUUUGAUUGAUUUCAAUACUUAAAUCUGAAUUCUUCUUUAGUUGUUUUAUUAUUUUCGUUAUACUCAAACCCCCCCUCCGUCCUUGUUCAAGUUGCAUAAAACUAGGCUAGAUACUCUCCGUGGGAACGAUCCUUACUCACACUACUACAUAUAUAUUUUUAGGAGUAUAGGUUUUAUUUUUGGUUGCCUGCGACAGCACACCAGUUUGGCAUAUCGAUACUCGGUACUUCCUCAAUAUCGAC